This 104-nucleotide small nuclear RNA is filed under the name Myotis davidii. Lineage: Eukaryota; Metazoa; Chordata; Mammalia; Chiroptera; Vespertilionidae. The record is from RNAcentral.
GUGCUCACUUCAGUAGCACAUAACUGAGAUUGGAAUAAUAGAGAAGAUUAGCAUGUCCCCUGCACACAGAUGAUAUGCAAUUUCAUGAAGCAUUUCGUAUUUUU